AACGCACGAGACCUGCGGACCUGCGGAGGGAUCAUUACCGAGUGUUGGUUUUUUCCUAAAAAACCGCCUCCCGUCCUGUGCCUCUAAAAAUUGAUUUGUUUCGGUGGGGGUACCCGCCGAAAAUUAGUUACAACCCACUAAAAAUUAGUGAGUCAGAGUCAAUUGCAAAAAGAUAAAAAAACUUUUAACAAUGGAUCUCU
This 200-nucleotide unclassified non-coding RNA is filed under the name soil metagenome. Its description in RNAcentral is "partial contains 5.8S ribosomal RNA, internal transcribed spacer 2, and large subunit ribosomal RNA". The record is from RNAcentral.